Molecule: long non-coding RNA, 280 nt
Organism: Microtus ochrogaster (prairie vole)
Lineage: Eukaryota; Metazoa; Chordata; Mammalia; Rodentia; Cricetidae
Source: RefSeq, a predicted model, not a curated record
ACGCAGCGGUGGCGGUGGAGGUAGCAGGAUUGGGGGUGGCCGCGUCAGACACUGGCUCACAGUCUGGGCUUCCUGAAGGCAUCCAAAGAACCACCUGAUGCCUGCUGUUACCAGGUAAACAAGGAAAAUUAUAACUCUAACUAGUCAUCAACUUGCUCAGGGACCCAAGAAAGAAAUAAUACUGAGGAAGCAGGAAGUCCAAGCAAGGAAAUUCCAAACAAUGUGAGAAAUGAGAGAAACAGCUGGCUACUUGGUUGCUCAUCCAAAGUUCUUCUGCAAC